RNAcentral lists this ribosomal RNA (62 nucleotides) under Metabacillus rhizolycopersici. Lineage: Bacteria; Bacillati; Bacillota; Bacilli; Caryophanales; Bacillaceae. The record is from RNAcentral.
UCUGGUAAUGAUGGCGAAGAGGCCACACCCGUUCCCAUGCCGAACACGGAAGUUAAGCUCUU